UUUUGUGAGGAUGUGAGCGACCAAAGCUAUCCGGAAGUCAACAUCGACAUGCCUUUCAACUAAGCUUUAACACCAAUUUACGUUGUCUAUAAGUGUCUAUGUGACAGUUUUGGUGUUCAGCUAGCAAUUUGCAGUCAUGGCCACCAAUGUGCAGAUAAAAGGCAAAGCUUCAAAGUUUGACUGUCUCAUCUGUAGCAGGAAUCUGUCUUCAAGGCAGUGACUUGAGACACAUAUGCAGGCAAAUCAUAACAGAAGUUCAGUGGAGUCUAGCUACAAAUGCAAACACUUUUUGAACAGGAUGCUUAAGUGUAGAAGCAAGUGGUCAACAGCAAAAGAAAUGGUGUCUUGUAAAGUUGCAGGAAGACUCUUACCAGUCUCACCAGAUGAAUGCUGUGAAGGUCUUCUGCAGUCAACAAACUCAACUUCUGCAUUGGAUUUAAAAAAGUGUUUUCGUGUUGAAAUUAAUGGACAAAAGUACUUCAGUCAGGCAUAUCAGCGAAUGAAAAAAAGAACUUGUUAUUUUGUGGUUUGUCAUUCAGGUGAAGUAGUUUCAGUCAAGUUUUUUGUUGUUAACAAAGAAAAGAAAGUGUUUGCUGUCGUGAAAGUAUAUGAAAUACCUGAUGACUGUUACAUCCUUAGAUCUAGUGGCAGACAUAUAUUUAAAGUUGUAUCAACUGAAUGUCUGAAAACAAUUCAUGUGUCUGAGAUCAUGGAUAAACUUUUCUAUAUAGCUAUGCUGUAUAUGUUGUAUGUAUGCCGAACAUUCUAGGCAGAAGUGUGUUUGAGUAAAGUACAAACAGUCCACACAAAUGCCCCCCUAUCCAGUGGUUAGACCAAUAAAAUACUUUUCAUUAAAAAGAGUACUCUAGCAAAUUAGUAUUGAUUAGUGUAUUUCAGAAAAUAACCGGACAAUAUAUAUGGUUAUAAUUAGUCCCCUACUGUGAAACCGGAAGAAACUAUAGGUUUACCGUCCGUCUGUCCAUCUGUCCAUCAGCGAAAAAGAAGUGGAUUAUGCGAUUACUCAAAAAGUAUAUAAGCUAAGUUCAUGAAACUUGGUGUGUAGUUACAGGACGAUAUGUAGAUUAUGCACAUCAUUUUAUUUUUUCAGUCGGACUAAAAUUAUUGGUUGCUAUGAUAACAGAAAUUCCGUCUGUCCUUCAGCGAAAAAAAGUGGAUUACGCGAUUACUCAUAAAAAAGGGUCCUAGCAGUAUCUAUGACAGCACAGGCCCAAAUCAGCCUUUGGGGCACAAGAUACAUAUGUACAGUUCAUGAGAUAAAAUUUUAACGCUUUUGUAUGCUACACAUUUAUAUGAUCAUGCUUAAAUCUGCACAUACAGUUAUUACAAUAAAAAUUAUCUCAAAGCA
Long non-coding RNA from Mercenaria mercenaria, 1366 nucleotides. RefSeq lists it as uncharacterized. The transcript is spliced from 3 exons. Lineage: Eukaryota; Metazoa; Mollusca; Bivalvia; Venerida; Veneridae. The record is from RefSeq and is a predicted model, not a curated record.